RNAcentral lists this unclassified non-coding RNA (220 nucleotides) under soil metagenome. RNAcentral's name for it is "partial contains 5.8S ribosomal RNA, internal transcribed spacer 2, and large subunit ribosomal RNA". The record is from RNAcentral.
AACGGUCUAUACCUGCGGUACCUGCGGAAGGAUCAUUACACAAUAAUAUAUGAAGGCUGCUCGCGGCUGGAGUAUUUAUUACCCUUGUCUUUUGCGCACUUGUUGUUUCCUGGGCGGGCUCGCCCGCCACCAGGACCACAUACAAACCUUUUUUAUGUAGUUGCAAUCAGCGUCAGUAUAACAAAUGUAAAUCAUUUACAACUUUCAGCAACGGAUCUCU